AUGGCUGUCGUCUAGCUCGUGUCGUGAGAUGUUCGGUUAAGUCGCUAACGAGCGCAACCCUCGUCGUAUGUUAUAUGUGUCAUACGAGACUGCCGGUAAAAGCCGGAGGAAGGUGAGGAUGAUGUCAAAGUCAGCAUGACCUUUAUAUCCAGGGCUACACACACGCUACAAUGGUCUGUACAAUGGGUAGCCAAGCCGCGAGGCGGAGCCAAUCCUGAAAGCAGGCCUCAGUUCAGAUUGCAGUCUGCAACUCGACUGCAUGAAGCCGGAGUUGCUAGUAACCGCAGGUCAGCAAUACUGCGGUGAAUACGUUCCCGGGUCUU
This 323-nucleotide ribosomal RNA is filed under the name uncultured Anaerolineaceae bacterium. RNAcentral describes it as "bacterial SSU rRNA". It matches the Rfam family "Bacterial small subunit ribosomal RNA", at positions 1045 to 1382 of the family's 1533-position model. Lineage: Bacteria; Bacillati; Chloroflexota; Anaerolineae; Anaerolineales; Anaerolineaceae. The record is from RNAcentral.